This 301-nucleotide ribosomal RNA is filed under the name uncultured bacterium. RNAcentral's name for it is "partial 16S ribosomal RNA". It matches the Rfam family "Bacterial small subunit ribosomal RNA", at positions 509 to 808 of the family's 1533-position model. The record is from RNAcentral.
CAGUAGCCGCGGGAAAACGAAGGGGGCUAGCGUUGCUCGGAAUGACUGGGCGUAAAGGGCGCGUAGGCGGUUUGUACAGUUGGAUGUGAAAUUCCUGGGCUUAACCUGGGGGCUGCAUUCAAUACGUGCAGGCUUGAGUGUGGAAGAGGGUUGUGGAAUUCCCAGUGUAGAGGUGAAAUUCGUAGAUAUUGGGAAGAACACCGGUGGCGAAGGCGGCAACCUGGUCCAUUACUGACGCUGAGGCGCGAAAGCGUGGGAGCAAACAGGAUUAGAUACCCGAGUAGUCCCUGUCUCUUAUACA